AUUGAACGCUGGCGGCAGGCCUAACACAUGCAAGUCGAACGGUAACAGGAAACAGCUUGCUGUUUCGCUGACGAGUGGCGGACGGGUGAGUAAUGUCUGGGAAACUGCCUGAUGGAGGGGGAUAACUACUGGAAACGGUAGCUAAUACCGCAUAACGUCGCAAGACCAAAGAGGGGGACCUUCGGGCCUCUUGCCAUCAGAUGUGCCCAGAUGGGAUUAGCUAGUAGGUGGGGUAACGGCUCACCUAGGCGACGAUCCCUAGCUGGUCUGAGAGGAUGACCAGCCACACUGGAACUGAGACACGGUCCAGACUCCUACGGGAGGCAGCAGUGGGGAAUAUUGCACAAUGGGCGCAAGCCGGAUGCAGCCAUGCCGCGUGUAUGAAGAAGGCCUUCGGGUUGUAAAGUACUUUCAGCGGGGAGGAAGGGAGUAAAGUUAAUACCUUUGCUCAUUGACGUUACCCGCAGAAGAAGCACCGGCUAACUCCGUG
RNAcentral lists this ribosomal RNA (490 nucleotides) under uncultured bacterium. RNAcentral describes it as "partial 16S ribosomal RNA". It matches the Rfam family "Bacterial small subunit ribosomal RNA", at positions 30 to 507 of the family's 1533-position model. The record is from RNAcentral.